GUGAGGAAUAUUGGUCAAUGGGCGGGAGCCUGAACCAGCCAAGUCGCGUGAAGGAAGAAGGAUCUAUGGUUCGUAAACUUCUUUUGCAGGGGAAUAAAGUGCAGGACGUGUCCUGUUUUGUAUGUACCCUGAGAAUAAGGAUCGGCUAACUCCGUGCCAGCAGCCGCGGUAAUACGGAGGAUCCGAGCGUUAUCCGGAUUUAUUGGGUUUAAAGGGUGCGUAGGUGGUUUGAUAAGUCAGCGGUGAAAGUUUGCAGCUUAACUGUAAAAAUGCCGUUGAAACUGUCGGAAUUGAGUGUAAAUGAGGUAGGCGGAAUGCGUGGUGUAGCGGUGAAAUGCAUAGAUAUCACGCAGAACUCCGAUUGCGAAAGCAGCUUACUAAGCUACAACUGACACUGAAGCACGAAAGCGUGGGGAUCAAACAGGAUUAGAAACCCCAGUAGUCC
RNAcentral lists this ribosomal RNA (445 nucleotides) under uncultured bacterium. RNAcentral's name for it is "partial 16S ribosomal RNA". It matches the Rfam family "Bacterial small subunit ribosomal RNA", at positions 354 to 796 of the family's 1533-position model. The record is from RNAcentral.